CAGGCUUGACUUGCAAUAUUCUUUCUAAAUGCAUUGUAUAGAUAGCAUAUAAUAAAAUAUAAGCAAAAUAGAAAGAAGCAUUAAAAUAUGAAAGAAAAAAAAUGCUCACUUCCGUUUGCCGCGAAUAUCCACAGGUAGCGAAUUGUAUCCUGGUGUCCCUAACAUUCUAUAGUCUAUACCAUGAGUCGUCAACCUGGUCCCUUCCGCCCACUAGUGGGCGUUUCAGGAUUCCAGGUGGGCGGAAGGGAUUUCCUCAUUUGGAG
Non-coding RNA from Pelobates cultripes (western spadefoot toad), 263 nucleotides. NCBI's taxonomy places the organism in Eukaryota, Metazoa, Chordata, Amphibia, Anura, Pelobatidae. The record is from the annotation of a GenBank genome assembly.